AAAUGCGAUAAUUAAUGUGAAUUGCAGAAUUCAGUGAAUCAUCGAAUCUUUGAACGCACCUUGCGCUCCUUGGUAUUCCUUGGAGCAUGCCUGUUUGAGUAUCAUGAAAUCUUCAAAGUAAAUCUUUUGUUAACUCAAUUGGUUUCUACUUUGGUAUUGGAGGUCUUUGCAGCUUCACACCUGCUCCUCUUUGUUCAUUAGCUGGAUCUCAGUGUUAUGCUUGGUUCCACUCGGCGUGAUAAGUUAUCUAUCGCUGAGGACACUGUAAAAGGUGGCCAAGGUAAAUGCAGAUGAACCGCUUCUAAUAGUCCAUUGACUUGGACAAUACUUUUAUGAUCUGAUCUCAAAUCAGGUAGGACUACCCGCUGAACUUAAGC
RNAcentral lists this unclassified non-coding RNA (377 nucleotides) under plant metagenome. Its description in RNAcentral is "partial contains 5.8S ribosomal RNA, internal transcribed spacer 2, and large subunit ribosomal RNA". The stretch from base 1 to 104 matches the Rfam family "5.8S ribosomal RNA", at positions 51 to 154 of the family's 154-position model. The record is from RNAcentral.